UCCGUUAUGGUCUAGGUAAGCAUCUCUCGCCCUUCAUCCCAACCCAACAAAUAACUAACAAAUACACAGUGGCUAGGAUACAUCGCUCUCACAGCAAGUGCCGAUGUGGCCGGGGUUCGAUUCCCCGUGACGGAA
This is a non-coding RNA of Ascochyta clinopodiicola, 135 nucleotides long. The record is from the annotation of a GenBank genome assembly. Lineage: Eukaryota; Fungi; Ascomycota; Dothideomycetes; Pleosporales; Didymellaceae.